This 228-nucleotide ribosomal RNA is filed under the name uncultured bacterium. RNAcentral describes it as "partial 16S ribosomal RNA". It matches the Rfam family "Bacterial small subunit ribosomal RNA", at positions 15 to 248 of the family's 1533-position model. The record is from RNAcentral.
GAUCAUGGCUCAGAUUGAACGCUGGCGGCAGGCCUAACACAUGCAAGUCGAGCGGAUGAAGAGAGCUUGCUCUCUGAUUCAGCGGCGGACGGGUGAGUAAUGCCUAGGAAUCUGCCUGAUAGUGGGGGACAACGUUUCGAAAGGAACGCUAAUACCGCAUACGUCCCACGGGAGAAAGCAGGGGACCUUCGGCCGUUGCGCUAUCAGAUGAGCCUAGGUCGGAGUUAG